GGUCAAGUGAAGAAGCGCAUACGGUGGAUGCCUUGGCAGUCAGAGGCGAUGAAAGACGUGGUAGCCUGCGAAAAGCUUCGGGGAGUCGGCAAACAGACUUUGAUCCGGAGAUCUCUGAAUGGGGGAACCCACCUAGGAUAACCUAGGUAUCUUGUACUGAAUCCAUAGGUGCAAGAGGCGAACCAGGGGAACUGAAACAUCUAAGUACCCUGAGGAAAAGAAAUCAACCGAGAUUCCCUUAGUAGUGGCGAGCGAACGGGGAUUAGCCCUUAAGCUUCAUUGAUUUUAGCGGAACGCUCUGGAAAGUGCGGCCAUAGUGGGUGAUAGCCCCGUACGCGAAAGGAUCUUUGAAGUGAAAUCGAGUAGGACGGAGCACGAGAAACUUUGUCUGAACAUGGGGGGACCAUCCUCCAAGGCUAAAUACUACUGACUGACCGAUAGUGAACCAGUACCGUGAGGGAAAGGCGAAAAGAACCCCGGAGAGGGGAGUGAAAUAGAACCUGAAACCGUAUGCGUACAAGCAGUGGGAGCCUACUUGUUAGGUGACUGCGUACCUUUUGUAUAAUGGGUCAGCGACUUAUAUUCAGUGGCAAGCUUAACCGUAUAGGGUAGGCGUAGCGAAAGCGAGUCUUAAUAGGGCGUUUAGUCGCUGGGUAUAGACCCGAAACCGGGCGAUCUAUCCAUGAGCAGGUUGAAGGUUAGGUAACACUGACUGGAGGACCGAACCCACUCCGUUGAAAAGGUAGGGGAUGACUUGUGGAUCGGAGUGAAAGGCUAAUCAAGCUCGGAGAUAGCUGGUUCUCCUCGAAAGCUAUUUAGGUAGCGCCUCAUGUAUCACUCUGGGGGGUAGAGCACUGUUUCGGCUAGGGGGUCAUCCCGACUUACCAAACCGAUGCAAACUCCGAAUACCCAGAAGUGCCGAGCAUGGGAGACACACGGCGGGUGCUAACGUCCGUCGUGAAAAGGGAAACAACCCAGACCGCCAGCUAAGGUCCCAAAGUUGUGGUUAAGUGGUAAACGAUGUGGGAAGGCUUAGACAGCUAGGAGGUUGGCUUAGAAGCAGCCAUCCUUUAAAGAAAGCGUAAUAGCUCACUAGUCGAGUCGGCCUGCGCGGAAGAUGUAACGGGGCUCAAACCACACACCGAAGCUGCGGGUGUCACGUAAGUGACGCGGUAGAGGAGCGUUCUGUAAGCCUGUGAAGGUGAGUUGAGAAGCUUGCUGGAGGUAUCAGAAGUGCGAAUGCUGACAUGAGUAACGACAAUGGGUGUGAAAAACACCCACGCCGAAAGACCAAGGGUUCCUGCGCAACGUUAAUCGACGCAGGGUUAGUCGGUUCCUAAGGCGAGGCUGAAAAGCGUAGUCGAUGGGAAACAGGUUAAUAUUCCUGUACUUCUGGUUACUGCGAUGGAGGGACGGAGAAGGCUAGGCCAGCUUGGCGUUGGUUGUCCAAGUUUAAGGUGGUAGGCUGAAAUCUUAGGUAAAUCCGGGGUUUCAAGGCCGAGAGCUGAUGACGAGUCGUCUUUUAGAUGACGAAGUGGUUGAUGCCAUGCUUCCAAGAAAAGCUUCUAAGCUUCAGGUAACCAGGAACCGUACCCCAAACCGACACAGGUGGUCGGGUAGAGAAUACCAAGGCGCUUGAGAGAACUCGGGUGAAGGAACUAGGCAAAAUGGCACCGUAACUUCGGGAGAAGGUGCGCCGGCUAGGGUGAAGGAUUUACUCCGUAAGCUCUGGCUGGUCGAAGAUACCAGGCCGCUGCGACUGUUUAUUAAAAACACAGCACUCUGCAAACACGAAAGUGGACGUAUAGGGUGUGACGCCUGCCCGGUGCCGGAAGGUUAAUUGAUGGGGUUAGCGCAAGCGAAGCUCUUGAUCGAAGCCCCGGUAAACGGCGGCCGUAACUAUAACGGUCCUAAGGUAGCGAAAUUCCUUGUCGGGUAAGUUCCGACCUGCACGAAUGGCGUAACGAUGGCGGCGCUGUCUCCACCCGAGACUCAGUGAAAUUGAAAUCGCUGUGAAGAUGCAGUGUAUCCGCGGCUAGACGGAAAGACCCCGUGAACCUUUACUGUAGCUUUGCACUGGACUUUGAGCCUGCUUGUGUAGGAUAGGUGGGAGGCUUUGAAGCGUGGACGCCAGUUCGCGUGGAGCCAUCCUUGAAAUACCACCCUGGCAUGCUUGAGGUUCUAACUCUGGUCCGUGAUCCGGAUCGAGGACAGUGUAUGGUGGGCAGUUUGACUGGGGCGGUCUCCUCCUAAAGAGUAACGGAGGAGUACGAAGGUGCGCUCAGACCGGUCGGAAAUCGGUCGCAGAGUAUAAAGGCAAAAGCGCGCUUGACUGCGAGACAGACACGUCGAGCAGGUACGAAAGUAGGUCUUAGUGAUCCGGUGGUUCUGUAUGGAAGGGCCAUCGCUCAACGGAUAAAAGGUACUCCGGGGAUAACAGGCUGAUACCGCCCAAGAGUUCAUAUCGACGGCGGUGUUUGGCACCUCGAUGUCGGCUCAUCACAUCCUGGGGCUGAAGCCGGUCCCAAGGGUAUGGCUGUUCGCCAUUUAAAGUGGUACGCGAGCUGGGUUUAGAACGUCGUGAGACAGUUCGGUCCCUAUCUGCCGUGGACGUUUGAGAUUUGAGAGGGGCUGCUCCUAGUACGAGAGGACCGGAGUGGACGAACCUCUGGUGUUCCGGUUGUCACGCCAGUGGCAUUGCCGGGUAGCUAUGUUCGGAAAAGAUAACCGCUGAAAGCAUCUAAGCGGGAAACUUGCCUCAAGAUGAGAUCUCACUGGGAACUUGAUUCCCCUGAAGGGCCGUCGAAGACUACGACGUUGAUAGGCUGGGUGUGUAAGCGUUGUGAGGCGUUGAGCUAACCAGUACUAAUUGCCCGUGAGGCUUGACCAU
RNAcentral lists this ribosomal RNA (2890 nucleotides) under Pseudomonas aeruginosa. RNAcentral describes it as "23S ribosomal RNA". It matches the Rfam family "Bacterial large subunit ribosomal RNA". Lineage: Bacteria; Pseudomonadati; Pseudomonadota; Gammaproteobacteria; Pseudomonadales; Pseudomonadaceae. The record is from RNAcentral.